UACGGAGGGAGCUAGCGUUGUUCGGAAUUACUGGGCGUAAAGCGCACGUAGGCGGCUAUUCAAGUCGGGGGUGAAAGCCCGGGGCUCAACCCCGGAACUGCCCUCGAAACUAGAUAGCUAGAAUCUUGGAGAGGCGAGUGGAAUUCCGAGUGUAGAGGUGAAAUUCGUAGAUAUUAGGAAGAACACCGGUGGCGAAGGCGGCCCACUGGUCCGGUACUGACGCUGAGGUGCGAAAGCGUGGGGAGCAAACAGG
Molecule: ribosomal RNA, 253 nt
Filed under: uncultured bacterium
Lineage: Bacteria
Description: partial 16S ribosomal RNA
Rfam family: Bacterial small subunit ribosomal RNA
Source: RNAcentral